This 545-nucleotide ribosomal RNA is filed under the name uncultured bacterium. RNAcentral's name for it is "bacterial SSU rRNA". It matches the Rfam family "Bacterial small subunit ribosomal RNA", at positions 8 to 524 of the family's 1533-position model. The record is from RNAcentral.
AGAGUUUGAUCCUGGCUCAGGACGAACGCUGGCGGCGUGCCUAAUACAUGCAAGUCGAACGCUUCUUUCCUCCCGAGUGCUUGCACUCAAUUGGAAAGAGGAGUGGCGGACGGGUGAGUAACACGUGGGUAACCUACCCAUCAGAGGGGGAUAACACUUGGAAACAGGUGCUAAUACCGCAUAACAGUUUAUGCCGCAUGGCAUAAGAGUGAAAGGCGCUUUCGGGUGUCGCUGAUGGAUGGACCCGCGGUGCAUUAGCUAGUUGGUGAGGUAACGGCUCACCAAGGCCACGAUGCAUAGCCGACCUGAGAGGGUGAUCGGCCACACUGGGACUGAGACACGGCCCAGACUCCUACGGGAGGCAGCAGUAGGGAAUCUUCGGCAAUGGACGAAAGUCUGACCGAGCAACGCCGCGUGAGUGAAGAAGGUUUUCGGAUCGUAAAACUCUGUUGUUAGAGAAGAACAAGGACGUUAGUAACUGAACGUCCCCUGACGGUAUCUAACCAGAAAGCCACGGCUAACUACGUGCCAGCAGCCGCGGUAAU